CCUACGGGCGGCUGCAGUGAGGAAUAUUGGUCAAUGGACGAGAGUCUGAACCAGCCAAGUAGCGUGAAGGAUGACUGCCCUAUGGGUUGUAAACUUCUUUUAUAAAGGAAUAAAACGAGGCACGUGUGCCUUUUUGCAUGUACUUUAUGAAUAAGGAUCGGCUAACUCCGUGCCAGCAGCCGCGGUAAUACGGAGGAUCCGAGCGUUAUCCGGAUUUAUUGGGUUUAAAGGGAGCGUAGAUGGGUUGUUAAGUCAGUUGUGAAAGUUUGCGGCUCAACCGUAAAAUUGCAAUUGAUACUGGCAGUCGUGAGUACCGUUGAGGUAAGCGGAAUUCGUGGUGUAGCGGUGAAAUGCUUAGAUAUCACGAAGAACCCCGAUUGCGAAGGCAGCUUACUAAACUGUAACUGACAUUGAUGCUCGAAAGUGUGGGUAUCAAACAGGAUUAGAUACCCCAGUAGUC
Molecule: ribosomal RNA, 460 nt
Filed under: uncultured bacterium
Lineage: Bacteria
Description: partial 16S ribosomal RNA
Rfam family: Bacterial small subunit ribosomal RNA
Source: RNAcentral